GGAUAACGUCCGAAAGGAACGCUAAUACCGCAUACGUCCUACGGGAGAAAGCAGCGGACCUUCGGGCCUUGCGCUAUCAGAUGAGCCUAGGUCGGAUUAGCUAGUUGGUGAGGUAAUGGCUCACCAAGGCGACGAUCCGUAACUGGUCUGAGAGGAUGAUCAGUCACACUGGAACUGAGACACGGUCCAGACCCCCACGGGAGGCAGCAGUGGGGAAUAUUGGACAAUGGGCGAAAGCCUGAUCCAGCCAUGCCGCGUGUGUGAAGAAGGUCUUCGGAUUGUAAAGCACUUUAAGUUGGGAGGAAGGGCAUUAACCUAAUACGUUAGUGUUUUGACGUUACCGACAGAAUAAGCACCGGCUAACUUCGUGCCAGCAGCCGCGGUAAUACGAAGGGUGCAAGCGUUAAUCGGAAUUACUGGGCGUAAAGCGCGCGUAGGUGGUUCGUUAAGUUGGAUGUGAAAGCCCCGGGCUCAACCUGGGAACUGCAUCCAAAACUGGCGAGCUAGAGUACGGUAGAGGGUGGUGGAAUUUCCUGUGUAGCGGUGAAAUGCGUAGAUAUAGGAAGGAACACCAGUGGCGAAGGUGACCACCUGGACUGAUACUGACACUGAGGUGCGAAAGCGUGGGGAGCAAACAGGAUUAGAUAACCCUGGUAGUCCACGC
RNAcentral lists this ribosomal RNA (664 nucleotides) under uncultured bacterium. Its description in RNAcentral is "bacterial SSU rRNA". It matches the Rfam family "Bacterial small subunit ribosomal RNA", at positions 141 to 800 of the family's 1533-position model. The record is from RNAcentral.